Molecule: ribosomal RNA, 782 nt
Filed under: Rhodotorula mucilaginosa
Lineage: Eukaryota; Fungi; Basidiomycota; Microbotryomycetes; Sporidiobolales; Sporidiobolaceae
Description: eukaryotic LSU rRNA
Rfam family: Eukaryotic large subunit ribosomal RNA
Source: RNAcentral
AGCUCAAAUUUAUAAUCUGGCACCUUCGGUGUCCGAGUUGUAAUCUCUAGAAAUGUUUUCCGCGUUGGACCGCACACAAGUCUGUUGGAAUACAGCGGCAUAGUGGUGAGACCCCCGUAUAUGGUGCGGACGCCCAGCGCUUUGUGAUACAUUUUCGAAGAGUCGAGUUGUUUGGGAAUGCAGCUCAAAUUGGGUGGUAAAUUCCAUCUAAAGCUAAAUAUUGGCGAGAGACCGAUAGCGAACAAGUACCGUGAGGGAAAGAUGAAAAGCACUUUGGAAAGAGAGUUAACAGUACGUGAAAUUGUUGGAAGGGAAACGCUUGAAGUCAGACUUGCUUGCCGAGCAAUCGGUUUGCAGGCCAGCAUCAGUUUUCCGGGAUGGAUAAUGGUAGAGAGAAGGUAGCAGUUUCGGCUGUGUUAUAGCUCUCUGCUGGAUACAUCUUGGGGGACUGAGGAACGCAGUGUGCCUUUGGCGGGGGUUUCGACCUCUUCACACUUAGGAUGCUGGUGGAAUGGCUUUAAACGACCCGUCUUGAAACACGGACCAAGGAGUCUAACAUGCUUGCGAGUAUUUGGGUGUCAAACCCGGAUGCGUAAUGAAAGUGAAUGGAGGUGGGAACCGCAAGGUGCACCAUCGACCGAUCUGGAUUUUUAAUGAUGGAUUUGAGUAAGAGCACGUAUGUUGGGACCCGAAAGAUGGUGAACUAUGCCUGAAUAGGGCGAAGCCAGAGGAAACUCUGGUGGAGGCUCGUAGCGGUUCUGACGUGCAAAUCGAUCGUCAAA